AUACGGAGGUGGCAAGCGUUGCUCGGAAUUAUUGGGCGUAAAGCGCACGUAGGCGGUCUCGUAAGUCGGGUGUGAAAGCCCCAGGCUCAACCUGGGAAGUGCACUCGAAACUGCUAGGCUUGAGUACGGAAGAGGGUCUCGGAAUUCCCGGUGUAGAGGUGAAAUUCGUAGAUAUCGGGAGGAACACCAGUGGCGAAGGCGGAGACCUGGGCCGAUACUGACGCUGAGGUGCGAAAGCGUGGGGAGCAAACA
RNAcentral lists this ribosomal RNA (252 nucleotides) under uncultured prokaryote. RNAcentral's name for it is "partial 16S ribosomal RNA". It matches the Rfam family "Bacterial small subunit ribosomal RNA", at positions 523 to 774 of the family's 1533-position model. The record is from RNAcentral.